GAUGAAGAACGUAGUGAAAUGCGAUACUUGGUGUGAAUUGCAGAAUCCCGUGAACCAUCGAGUCUUUGAACGCAAGUUGCGCCCGAAGCCAUCAGGUUGAGGGCACGUCUGCCUGGGCGUCACAUAUCGUUGCCCAAUGCCUAUUGCAGUGCAAUAGGAAUUUCUAGGGCGAAUGAUGGCUUCCCGUGAGCGUUGUUGCCUCGCGGUUGGUUGAAAAUCGAGUCCUUGGUAGGGUGUGCCAUGGUAGAUGGUGGUCGAGUUAGAACGAUACCGAUCAUGUGCAUGCUCCCCAAAAUAUGGCCUCUAUGACCCACACGCGUCUUUUGACGCUCAUGACGAGACAUCAGGUCAGGCGGGGCUACCCGCUGAAUUUAAGCAUAUCAAUAAGCGGAGGA
Molecule: unclassified non-coding RNA, 395 nt
Filed under: soil metagenome
Description: partial contains 5.8S ribosomal RNA, internal transcribed spacer 2, and large subunit ribosomal RNA
Rfam family: 5.8S ribosomal RNA (bases 1-122)
Source: RNAcentral